Cygnus atratus (black swan) is the source of this 5088-nucleotide RNA transcript. It is a transcript of the gene named phosphodiesterase 3B, with no coding region annotated. NCBI's taxonomy places the organism in Eukaryota, Metazoa, Chordata, Aves, Anseriformes, Anatidae. The record is from RefSeq and is a predicted model, not a curated record. The transcript has 17 exons.
GUUCGGGGGAGAGCGAGCGAGCGAGGCUCGUUACCUUUUCUCUCUUUCCCCGUCGCUCCUCCACCAUGCUCCGGACGCCGCUGCCUGCGGAGGAGACGCCGCGGGUCAGCGCAGCGCCCCUCUCCUGAGGAGAUGAGGGAGGCGCGGCCGGGCCGGAGCUAGCGCGACCCGCGCCUUGCCCCGUCCUGUCCCUCCCGCCGCCCCGACCACCAUGAGGGACGAGAGGGAAGCCGCCGCCGCCGCCUCCCGCCCCGGCCCCGGCCGAGCCCCGCAGCACUGCCAGCAGCCGGACGGCGGCGCGGAGAGCCUGCGGAACGGCUACGUGAGGAGCUGCGCGACCCCCCUGCGGCAGGACCCCCCGAGAAGCUUCCUUUCGCUGCUGCUGCUCCCCGCCGCCGCCUCCUCCUCCUCCUCCUCCUGCUGCCGGGCUCUGCUCAGCCUGGCCGCCCUGGCCGCCCUCGUGCUCUCGCUGCUGGCGCUCCCGGGCCGGGGCAGCGCCGGGGGCCAGCAGGACGGGAGCAGCUGGCGGAGUCCCCGGCCUCUGCACGCCUUGCUGAGCCUCUCCCGCUGCCUCAGCCCGCUCUUCAGCAUCGCCUGCGCCUUCUUCUUCCUCACCUGCCACCUAGCCCGUGGCGGAGCGACCCGCUGGUGGCUGCUGGCGCUUCCCGUGUGCUGCUACUCGGGGGACUUCGUGGCGCUGCAGUGGCUGCUGCCCCCCGCGGGGCGCCAAGAGGAGCCCCGAGCCCCCAGCGAGCCGCAGAUGGUGGCCGGCAGGCUGCUGACGGUGCUGGGCUCGGUGGCGGCGCUGACCCUGCUGCAGAGCUCCCUGAAGCUCCGCCGGAGCCUCCUCGUCUUGCUCUUCUCCAGCCUGGUGUGGCUGGUGUCGCUCGGCAGCCUCCACUCGCUGCCCCCGGCCCUCCGCCCGCUGCUGGCCGGCUCUGUCGGGGCGGCGGGCUGCCUCCUAGCCCUCUGCGGCGGCGAGCGCGGCGUCCUGGCGGCCCGGAGCCGGGCAGCGCAUCAGCAGCAUCACCACCACCCGCGGCUCCCCAGCGCGGAGGAAAAAGUGCCUGUGAUCAGACCCAGGAGGAGAUCGAGCUGCGUGUCCUUAGGGGAGACUUCGGCCAGCUACUACGGCAGCAGCAAAAUGUUUCGGAGACCCUCGCUGCCUUGCAUUUCCAGAGAGCAGAUGAUACUUUGGGAUUGGGAUUUGAAGCAAUGGUACAAGCCCUAUUACCAGAAUGUUGGCAGUGGAAAUGGAGUUGAUCUUUCAGUACUAAAUGAGGCUCGGAGCAUGCUAACAGACCUCCUGACUGACCCAUCCCUUCCAGCGCAAGUGAUUUCUUCCCUUCGAAGCAUUAAUAGUUUGAUUGGUGCAUUCUCAGCCACAUGCAGGCCAAAGGCCAAUCCGUUCACACCAUUUCCUGGUUUCUUCCCAUGUCCUGAAGUAGAAGAUUCUGCUGAAAAAGGAGACCGAAAGCUGUUCAAGGGAUUAAAUAGCAGGAAUAGCCUACCAACACCACAGCUGAGACGAGCUUCAGGAGUUUCUGGCAUUCCACCUAUAGAAUCGCAACCUUCUAGAUGGGAACGGAGUAACAGUAAGAGAUCUCAUCAGGAAUAUAACACAUCAAGCCAAGGAACCCAUUCAAAUGGGUCGUUUGGUGCAACCCUGCUGACAAUACCAAAACAAAGGUCAUCUUCAAUAACAUUGGGUCAUCAUAUAAGUUCCAGACGAACAAGUGCUUCUCCUGGCCUGAGUCCUGUGGGUUCACCUAGUCAUGGAUCUGUCUCCAGUGGGACCCUCAGCAGCUGGUCACCUGUAGAAUUUCCUGAUACUGCUGAUUUUCUUACAAAACCAAGCAUUAAUAUUUAUAAGCCUCCAGCAUACACAUUUAGUUCAUCAGAUUUUCAGCAGCAAGUUAAAACACCUAUAGGUCAUGUGUGUAGCAGCUGUGGAUGUCACAUACUCAAGGCUGUUCCAACACCAGAACAAGAAUUUGCAGAAUAUAAAGACAAAAAAUCAGGUGAAGCUGGAAGCACUAGUGUUCCAAAAGAAUCUUUCUACCAUACAGAGAAGACAAAAGAUGUAAAGAAGGAAAUAAUUAUUGAAACACAAAAUAGUCCACUUGUGGAGCAGAAUCCUACAUUAGAAACAAUGUUAAUAGAACAUGACUCACUAAUGGAGAAAAUGAACAAUUGGAACUUCCAAAUUUUUGACCUUGUACAAGAAAUGGGAGACCAAUCUGGAAGGAUUCUUAGCCAGGUAACUUAUACUUUGUUUCAAGACACUGGUUUGUUUGAGAUUUUCAAAAUCCCAGUUCAAGAAUUCAUGAAUUACUUCUGUGCGCUCGAAAAUGGCUACAGAGAUAUUCCCUAUCACAAUCGUAUACACGCCACGGAUGUUCUUCAUGCAGUAUGGUAUCUGACAACACGGCCCAUUCCUGGAUUUCAGCAAAUUCAUAACGAGCAUAUAAUGGAGAGUGAUAUGGACGAAGCUAGUGGUGUUGGCCCUGUUCAAGUCAACUAUAUUUCUUCAAAAACCUGUUCUGUUGCUGAUGAUAGUUAUGGGUGCCUGGCAUCAAACAUUCCUGCCUUGGAAUUGAUGGCUUUAUAUGUAGCAGCUGCCAUGCAUGAUUAUGAUCAUCCUGGUCGUACAAAUGCUUUUCUAGUAGCUACAAAUGCUCCACAGGCUGUUCUCUACAAUGACAGAUCAGUCUUAGAAAAUCACCAUGCUGCUUCUGCCUGGAAUCUUUUCCUAUCACGACCAGAAUACAACUUCUUAUCAAAUCUUGAUCAUGUAGAAUUUAAGCGUUUUCGUUUCUUAGUGAUUGAAGCAAUCCUUGCCACAGAUCUCAAGAAGCAUUUUGAUUUCCUUGCAGAAUUUAAUGCCAAGGUCAACGAUAUCAACAGUCAUGGUAUAGAAUGGAGCAAUGAAAAUGAUCGCUUGCUUGUCUGUCAAAUAUGCAUCAAACUGGCAGAUAUUAAUGGCCCAGCAAAAGUUAGAGAGCUGCAUCUGAAAUGGACAGAAGGCAUUGUUAAUGAAUUUUAUGAACAGGGUGAUGAGGAAGCAAGUCUUGGAUUACCUAUAAGUCCCUUCAUGGAUCGCUCUUCUCCACAGCUUGCAAAACUGCAAGAAUCUUUCAUCACUCACAUAGUUGGCCCCCUUUGUAAUUCCUAUAAUGCAGCUGGGUUGCUUCCAGGGCAAUGGGUUGAUGAAGAGGAGGAUGCAGAAAGUAAUGAAGAUGAUGAUGGAGCACAGUCGGAGAGUGAUGAUGAGGAAAUAGAAGACGAUCUUAUUUUAAAAGCUCAAAGAAGAAAAGGUAGACGACGAAUAUUUUGCCAGCUAAUACACCAUCUAAGUGAAAAUCACAAAAUAUGGAAGAAAGUGAUUGAAGAAGAAGAAAAAAAUAAAGCUGAAGGAGCUAAACUGCUGACUGAGAACUCAUCUUUACCUCAAGCAGAUGAAAUUCAGGUUAUUGAGGAAGCUGAUGAAGAAGAUGAACGACAGCUAGGAGAAGAAAAGACAUGCUGAGAAAACUUCAGUCAUGUCCAUUACGAGGAUAGAAAGCUGAUAUAUAUCUAUAUCUAUUUUCACUGUGUUGACUUUAGCCUAACACAGUUCACUUAAAAUUGAAAGGCCUUAAUACUGUGAGAGGAUUCUUUCUACUCCAGUGGAAUCCCUAUGCACUUUUGCCACACAGAAUACGAAACUUUAUUCAAAGAUUGAGUAUUGUAUACCCUGAUGCAAAGUUCUUUAUGCCUUAGUUGGUAUAAAAUAUUCUGAUAUAACGCUGCCUUGCUGAAAAAGGAACUCCUAUUUUCCUUGAGACAUAGCUUAUAUUGCCUCCAAGUGUGAUGUACAUCCUGAAAUAUACAUAUGGAAAGCAGAAUGUGAAAACUUCAUGUAAGGCCUAAUAGUAAGAUAAAUAUCACUGUACUAUAUUACACUUUAGAUAAUUUAGGUUUUAAAUAAGCUUAGACAAUCCAAACAGAUAUAUUUUUAGAAACACUACCAUUGGAGAUCUGAUUGCGAAAAUAAAAAUAAAUAAAUUAGGCUGCAAGUGCAUAAUCACCUUAUGCAAGCCACAAAUAAAGCUAGCUUUAAAAGUGCAUCUUUUAAUACUAAACACAUACAUGCUGUGCUGUUGAAUGGAAUUUAAAAAAAGGCACACAUGUUCAAGUUGCUAAAUGUAUUCUAGCAUAUUUUUGUUCACAUUUUUAUUAGUUCACUUGAAAAAGAGGUAGCAUUCCUAAGAUAACCUUGUGUAAAUUCUAUUGCACUAUUUUACACAAUUGAAUUUCUCUUUUGCUCUUGGGUCAGUUUAAAUAACUGAGAAAGAUAUAUAUUUUUUUCGAUUUUCCACUAAUUAGCUUUUUGUGGAUCGACUUAUAAGACCACUGAAUUGUGCUUUUGCUAUUUUAUAUAAUCAGUGCCAAAUUCCACUUUGCUGCCAUUAUUACUAUCACUGCAUUUUUUUGUAACAUGAGCAGUGUUAAAAACAGAUAUUUCUGUCAUUAAUGAAAUAUUGCACUAUUGAAUGCGAAUGUAGAGUUUAGUGAUACGAUUUAGUGGAGGACUUGUUAGUGUUAGGUCAGAGGUUGGACUAGAUGGUCUUGGAGGUCUCUUCCAACCUGGAUGAUUCUGUGAUUCUGUGAAGCUGACACUUAUCACUCCCUCGUAUUUUACAUUUGGUGCUCAUAUAUUUCCUAACAAAUCAUGAAGACUACAGAAAUUAUGCUUGUUUCAAUAUGCUAUGUUCUCAGUGUUUUGUGGUUAGUUUGUGUUUUCAUGUUAAAAAAAAAAAAGGGGGGGCACAUUAAUACUAUUUAGUUUCAUUCUUGCUUUUACUGACAAAAGAAUGCAGAUGUGCUUGUUUAAAGUUAUAGUUACGGUAUUUUACAUGGCAGUUUUCUAUUUAGUUUCCUUUUAAAAGGAGCAUUAUUAAAAAGUAUUAUAAAGAGAGAAUAAGAAGGUAGAAAUAACAUUAUCUUUUACUAAAGCAUUGACAGUAAUUAUAUCUGGUGACAACAUUGCCAGCAACUUUAUCUCAGGUUUCCAUUAUAUUCUUUAGAAAUACGGAAGAAAUUUUU